GCCUCACCUACAAUAAGAAAAUAAAGCCCCAUGUAUGCCUAAAGCAAGGGCGAUGCCCAUGCUCCAUUUUUUAAUUUUUUCGAAAAUGGGCCUCGGUGGGCCCACCGUGUCCCGGGAAAUUUUUCGACAUCCAGGACGGGGCGGAGGGAGCUGGGGUGUUUGCGGGCCAAUUCCGUGGAUACCGAUGCCUAUCUUGGAGCCCAGACAUGCCCCCGUGCCCAGGCUCCCCAGU
This 232-nucleotide long non-coding RNA is filed under the name Ricinus communis (castor bean). RNAcentral's name for it is "long non-coding RNA (RCOM_LNC002498)". Lineage: Eukaryota; Viridiplantae; Streptophyta; Magnoliopsida; Malpighiales; Euphorbiaceae. The record is from RNAcentral.